UAAAGAAUAUCUAAAAAAUUUGUUAAAUGUGCAUACUUUAAUUACAGAAUUCUUCUCUUGCUAUAAAAAACAGGGUGAAAUUGGACCACCAGGUCAACCAGGAGCAAAAGGGUCACCAGGAGAUACUGGUUUGAUGGGACCAGAAGGCUCACUUGGUCUACCUGGAGCUCCUGGGCCUAAGGGUGAUAAAGGCGAACCGGGAAUUCAGGGGAAACCAGGAUCGUCAGGAGCCAAGGUAAAUAUGAUUCUGGAAGUACUCUAGUUAAAGAAGGGAUUUAUGUACUAUUUUACAAGGCAGUUU
This 301-nucleotide long non-coding RNA is filed under the name Manacus vitellinus (golden-collared manakin). Its description in RNAcentral is "lncRNA (ENSMVIG00005012017.1)". Lineage: Eukaryota; Metazoa; Chordata; Aves; Passeriformes; Pipridae. The record is from RNAcentral.